GAUGAACGCUAGCGGCAGGCCUAAUACAUGCAAGUCGAACGGGAUCUGAGGGUAGCUUGCUACCCGAUUUGAGAGUGGCGCACGGGUGCGUAACGCGUGAGCAACCUACCCAUAUCAGGGGGAUAGCCCGAAGAAAAUCGGAUUAACACCGCAUAAUAAUACGCUAACACAUGAUGAUGUAUUUAAAUAUUUAUAGGAUAUGGAUGGGCUCGCGUGACAUUAGCUAGUUGGUAAGGUAACGGCUUACCAAGGCGACGAUGUCUAGGGGCUCUGAGAGGAGAAUCCCCCACACUGGUACUGAGACACGGACCAGACUCCUACGGGAGGCAGCAGUAAGGAAUAUUGGUCAAUGGGCGCAAGCCUGAACCAGCCAUGCCGCGUGCAGGAUGACUGCCCUAUGGGUUGUAAACUGCUUUUGUUAGGGAAUAAACCUUCUUACGUGUAAGGAGCUGAAUGUACCUAAAGAAUAAGGAUCGGCUAACUCCGUGCCAGCCGCCGCGGUAA
RNAcentral lists this ribosomal RNA (504 nucleotides) under uncultured bacterium. RNAcentral's name for it is "partial 16S ribosomal RNA". It matches the Rfam family "Bacterial small subunit ribosomal RNA", at positions 28 to 523 of the family's 1533-position model. The record is from RNAcentral.